GACAGGGAGUUCCUCUUGCUCUGCUGGUGUAAUCAUUCCUGAUGAAAAAGAACAGGAUCUUGCUGUUUCUUCCUAAUAGUUUUUAACAUUUGUGGUACUUGUAUUUUCCUUAGAUCCUUCUACAGAAUGUUGUCUAAGUGGAGCUAAUAUCCUGUUUCUUUGCUCAGGCAUUAUGCUAUCAUAAGAAUUCUCCAUGGAGUAAUUUGAGUAAGGAACUCAGGCAGCACAUCGAUCCUCUGUAGUCAAUCAAGUAUGGACAAAGCAAACUGAAAACAAUUCCUAGAAAAAUCUUCAUAAUGAUGUAGAGAUUUCUUACAUCACCUUAUUCCUGCUUCCUGUCCAAGGGCAUUGCAUCGUCUCACACAAACAGAGGACAUUAUUAAAAGGAGCUUAAAAACACUGGAAAGAAAAGAAGAUUUAGACCCCCUGCCAAGGCAUACAGCAAUGCUCAUGUAAUGUAAAACCACUUUAUCCUCCUGUGCUCUCCAUCCCAGCUGACC
This is a long non-coding RNA of Coturnix japonica (Japanese quail), 500 nucleotides long. RefSeq lists it as uncharacterized. Lineage: Eukaryota; Metazoa; Chordata; Aves; Galliformes; Phasianidae. The record is from RefSeq and is a predicted model, not a curated record.